Molecule: ribosomal RNA, 522 nt
Filed under: uncultured archaeon
Lineage: Archaea
Description: bacterial SSU rRNA
Rfam family: Archaeal small subunit ribosomal RNA
Source: RNAcentral
ACGGGGUGCAGCAGGCGCGAAAACUUUGCAAUGUGCGCAAGCACGACAAGGUUAAUCCGAGUGUUUCCUGCUAAAGGAAUCUUUUGCUAGUCCUAAAAACACUAGCGAAUAAGGGGUGGGCAAGUUCUGGUGUCAGCCGCCGCGGUAAAACCAGCACCUCAAGUGGUCAGGAGGAUUAUUGGGCCUAAAGCAUCCGUAGCCUGCUCUGUAAGUUUCCGGUUAAAUCCAUUAGCUUAACUGAUGGGCCGCCGGAAAAACUGCAGAGCUAGGGAGUGGGAGAGGUAGACGGUACUCGGUAGGAAGGGGUAAAAUCCUUUGAUCUAUUGAUGACCACCUGUGGCGAAGGCGGUCUACUAGAACACGUCCGACGGUGAGGGAUGAAAGCUGGGGGAGCAAACCGGAUUAGAUACCCGGGUAGUCCCAGCUGUAAACUAUGCAAACUCAGUGAUGCAUUGGCUUGUGGCCAAUGCAGUGUUGCAGGGAAGCCGUUAAGUUUGCCGCCUGGAAGUACGUACGCAAGUA